RNAcentral lists this ribosomal RNA (440 nucleotides) under uncultured bacterium. RNAcentral describes it as "bacterial SSU rRNA". It matches the Rfam family "Bacterial small subunit ribosomal RNA", at positions 29 to 474 of the family's 1533-position model. The record is from RNAcentral.
AUUAAACGCUGGCGGCAUGCCUUACACAUGCAAGUCGAACGGCAGCACGGGGGCAACCUUGGUGGCGAGUGGCGAACGGGUGAGUAAAGCAUCGGAACGUGCCCUGGAGUGGGGGAUAACGUAGCGAAAGUUACGCUAAUACCGCAUAUUCUGUGAGCAGGAAAGCAGGGGAUCGCAAGACCUUGCGCUCUGGGAGCGGCCGAUGUCGGAUUAGCUAGUUGGUGGGGUAAAGGCCUACCAAGGCGACGAUCCGUAGCGGGUCUGAGAGGAUGAUCCGCCACACUGGGACUGAGACACGGCCCAGACUCCUACGGGAGGCAGCAGUGGGGAAUUUUGGACAAUGGGCGAAAGCCUGAUCCAGCCAUGCCGCGUGAGUGAAGAAGGCCUCGGUUGGUAAAGCUCUUUCGGUGGGGAAGGAAAUUAGCAUAGGCUAAUACCCU